AACACUUGCACCUCCAGUAGCUGGUGAAAAUGAUUCAGGGUAAUGAAUCUUUUAAGCUUUACUGCCGAGCAUCAGCAUACCCAGCAGGAGCUGGGACCACUCAUCAUUUUCUUUAGAUUAGACACAGGUGGUGUCAGGUGCUCUUGUCAACCAAACCCAAUGAAAGUAAAUUGGUGAGAAACCAGUCUGUUUGGUGGAGAGAUGAGUGUGGAGUAAACCAGGGGUAGGUUUUGUUCAUGGGUGGAGCAGUUAGGCCAGGAGAAGGGCUGAGACCAGGAGAAGAGCUGGCACUUUCAUUGCAGGAGCUUUCUGCUGGUAUUUGCCUAAUUGGUUGGGUUUUUCCAUCUGAUUUUCAGAGUCGGAGAAAAAGAGAAAUAGAUGGCCUUUGUGUCUGUUCAUGAGUCACGAAAAUUAUGGGAAUGUUGAAAGACCACAGGAUUACAAAGUCUCGGGAGCUUCUGUCCUCCAGUUUCACCCACUUCAAGGAUACCAACAGAGGAGACGUCUUAGCUUCUAGCUAACUUGCAGAAGGGUGUGCAGCCAGACGAGGAAGAUCAUCAAAACACUGGGACUCACCAACGUACCUGGGCAGUGCAGGACACUGUUAACCUACCUGGGAGAAGGCACACUGCACUUCAGAGGUGUUGAGGUGCUACUGUAGAGGAGGUUUUGAGAAAACAGAUAAACAUGGGACGUGACUAUCAAUUCAGUCACCAGGUGAUGGGUAGGUGUUCAAGAGGGGAUGAUAUUCUAAGGAAUUAAGUUCUUGCUUAUAUAGAAACAUCUGCAGCUAGCCCUCACAGCAUUUAUUUGCAUUUUGUGAGAUGAUCAGGAUUUUGCCCACAUAUAUGACUAAAAAUUAAUAACUGUGUCAUUCUCUCGUAACAGCAAUACAAUCAAAAUCAGUUACGUUAUUAACCUCUGGAAAAGCAAUGUCCUUCCCUUCCCCACUACAUCCACUGCAAGAGUAUAGUGCCCCCCCUUUGGCAGUUGUAGAUAAGUAAUGCUGAAAAAGACCCUGAGAUGGACUGCAAGCACAAAGGACGGGUUUCUCUGUUUAGACAACGCUAUAAUGUCCAUUCAGCUCCCUCCAAAAUGCAAGAGAAGAUCAAUGCUGCCCUGUAAAAGACAGAGAGAGACCUUCC
Molecule: long non-coding RNA, 1145 nt
Filed under: Anser brachyrhynchus (Pink-footed goose)
Lineage: Eukaryota; Metazoa; Chordata; Aves; Anseriformes; Anatidae
Description: lncRNA (ENSABRG00000002718.1)
Source: RNAcentral